AAAUUAGUAAGUAAGUAUGUCAGGAAGGAAGCAAGCAAAUAAACAAGCAAGAUUUAAGUAAGGUAACAAGUAAUCGAGUAAGAAAGUGAGCAAGUAUUGAGGUAAGAUAUCUAAAAAGAAAGUACACAACUAAAAACAGAAAAAAUUAAGCCUUUCGGUAAGGAAGGAAGGAAGCUGGUUAGUAGGUAUGUUAGGAGGGGGGUAAGUAGGCAAGUAAGGAAGUAGGCAAGUCAGUAAGUAUGGAAGUGAGCGAGUAGACAAGUAAGGAAGUGAGCAAGUCAGUAAGUAAGGAAGUGAGCAAGUCAGUAAGUAAGGAAGUGAGCGAGUAGACAAGUAACAAAGUAAGCAAGUCAGUAAGUAAGGAAGUGAGCGAGUAGAUAAGUAACAAAGUACGGUAAGCAAGCAGGAG
This is a non-coding RNA of Xyrichtys novacula (pearly razorfish), 409 nucleotides long. The record is from the annotation of a GenBank genome assembly. NCBI's taxonomy places the organism in Eukaryota, Metazoa, Chordata, Actinopteri, Labriformes, Labridae.